RNAcentral lists this ribosomal RNA (292 nucleotides) under uncultured bacterium. RNAcentral's name for it is "partial 16S ribosomal RNA". It matches the Rfam family "Bacterial small subunit ribosomal RNA", at positions 505 to 796 of the family's 1533-position model. The record is from RNAcentral.
GUGUCAGCCGCCGCGGUAAUACAGAGGUGGCAAGCGUUGUUCGGAAUUACUGGGCGUAAAGGGCGCGUAGGCGGCCCCCUAAGUCCCGUGUGAAAGCCCCCGGCUCAACCGGGGAACUGCACGGGAAACUGGAGGGCUUGAGUUCGGGAGAGGGAAGCGGAAUUCCGGGUGUAGCGGUGAAAUGCGUAGAUAUCCGGAGGAACACCGGUGGCGAAGGCGGCUUCCUGGACCGACACUGACGCUGAUGCGCGAAAGCUAGGGGAGCAAACGGGAUUAGAAACCCCAGUAGUCC